AGUGGCGGACGGGUGAGUAACGCGUGAGAAUCUGCCUUGGGGUCGGGGACAACCACUGGAAACGGUGGCUAAUACCGGAUAAGCCGAUUGGUGAAAGAUUUAUUGCCCGAAGAGGAGCUCGCGUCUGAUUAGCUAGUUGGUGAGGUAAGAGCUCACCAAGGCAGCGAUCAGUAGCUGGUCUGAGAGGACGAUCAGCCACACUGGGACUGAGACACGGCCCAGACUCCUACGGGAGGCAGCAGUGGGGAAUUUUCCGCAAUGGGCGAAAGCCUGACGGAGCAAGACCGCGUGAGGGAGGAAGGCUCUUGGGUUGUAAACCUCUUUUCUCAGGGAAGAAGCUCUGACGGUACCUGAGGAAUCAGCCUCGGCUAACUCCGUGCCAGCAGCCGCGGUAAUACGGAGGAGGCAAGCGUUAUCCGGAAUUAUUGGGCGUAAAGCGUCCGCAGGUGGCGAUUCAAGUCUGCUGUCAAAGCACCGGGCUUAACUCCGUAAAGGCAGUGGAAACUGAAUAGCUAGAGUGCCGUAGGGGUAGAGGGAAUUCCCGGUGUAGCGGUGAAAUGCGUAGAGAUCGGGAAGAACAUCGGUGGCGAAAGCGCUCUACUGGACGGCAACUGACACUCAGGGACGAAAGCUAGGGGAGCGAAUGGGAUUAGAUACCCC
Molecule: ribosomal RNA, 660 nt
Filed under: uncultured bacterium
Lineage: Bacteria
Description: bacterial SSU rRNA
Rfam family: Bacterial small subunit ribosomal RNA
Source: RNAcentral